Molecule: ribosomal RNA, 465 nt
Filed under: Vreelandella stevensii
Lineage: Bacteria; Pseudomonadati; Pseudomonadota; Gammaproteobacteria; Oceanospirillales; Halomonadaceae
Description: partial 16S ribosomal RNA
Rfam family: Bacterial small subunit ribosomal RNA
Source: RNAcentral
CCUACGGUGCGCAGCAGUGGGGAAUAUUGGACAAUGGGCGAAAGCCUGAUCCAGCCAUGCCGCGUGUGUGAAGAAGGCCUUCGGGUUGUAAAGCACUUUCAGUGGGGAAGAAAGCCUUGGGGCUAAUACCCUCGAGGAAGGACAUCACCCACAGAAGAAGCACCGGCUAACUCCGUGCCAGCAGCCGCGGUAAUACGGAGGGUGCGAGCGUUAAUCGGAAUUACUGGGCGUAAAGCGCGCGUAGGCGGUCUGAUAAGCCGGUUGUGAAAGCCCCGGGCUCAACCUGGGAACGGCAUCCGGAACUGUCAGGCUAGAGUGCAGGAGAGGAAGGUAGAAUUCCCGGUGUAGCGGUGAAAUGCGUAGAGAUCGGGAGGAAUACCAGUGGCGAAGGCGGCCUUCUGGACUGACACUGACGCUGAGGUGCGAAAGCGUGGGUAGCAAACAGGAUUAGAUACCCGGGUAGUC